RNAcentral lists this long non-coding RNA (1312 nucleotides) under Nicotiana benthamiana. RNAcentral's name for it is "long non-coding RNA (NBEN_LNC004332)". Lineage: Eukaryota; Viridiplantae; Streptophyta; Magnoliopsida; Solanales; Solanaceae. The record is from RNAcentral.
GGGACUCUCACCCAGGGAGUACGAGGUCAUGGUGCGGGACUUCCUCAAUACGGAAUUGUGUUUUGCGACUCGAGAGCAGAUUUCCUCCCUCUAUCAACUCCUUUUUUAUGGUCGGGAGGAUCCACAAUUCUUCAUUGAUCCACAAGACCUGGAUUCCAUACUGAGGGUGCACCUUGAACCCUUAGAAUUCAAUCACCCUGCUCUAUGCCAAGUCUUAGAAAGUCUAUGUGUCGAGAGGCAUGAUUCCCCUUUUUAUCAAGAUCUAAAAGGAACUCAACUCUCAUCCAGGGAGUACGAUGUCAUGGUGCGGGACUUCCUCAAUAUGGAAUUGUGUUUUGCGAUUCUAGAGUAGAUUUCCUCCCUCUAUCAACUCCUUUUUUAUGGUCGGGAGGAUCCACAAUUCUUCAUUGAUCCACAAGACCUGGAUUCCAUACUGAGGGUGCACCUUGAACCCUUAGAAUUCAAUCACCCUGCUCUAUGCCAAGUCUUAGAAAGUCUAUGUGUCGAGAGGCAUGAUUCCCCUUUUUAUCAAGAUCUAAAAGGAACUCAAGCGCAUCAUUUUCGUGGCUUUAGAAACUUAAAGCACCAAGCGCGAUUGGAAAUGCAACAUCGCCUAGAGUUACGAGAGUUAUGGAAAUCUCUUGAGAGAAGGAACGCUUUUCUAAGCGAGGAAAACGCCUCUCUAAGAGAAAAACUUUUAAUUCUCGACAGGGAAGCCCCAAAGACCUGGAUUUCAUACUGAGGGUGCACCUUGAACCCUUAUAAUUCAAUCACCCUACUCUAUGCCAAGUCUUACAAAGUCUAUGUGUCGAGAGGCAUGAUUCCCCUUUUUAUCAAGAUCUAAAAGGAACUCAAGCGCAUCAUUUUCGUGGCUUUAUAAACUUAAAGUGCCAAGCGCGAUUGGAAAUGCAACAUCGCCUAGAGUUACGAGAGUUAUGGAAAUCUCUUGAGAGAAGGAACGCUUUUCUAAGCGAGGAAAAAGCCUCUCUAAGAGAAAAACUUUUAAUUCUCGACAAGGAAGCCCCAUAAAAUUCUGCUUUGUUGUGUUGCUGUCGUAAAAUUGCGUUCUUCGUUCCGUCGUCGAUCUUCCAAUUUCUUCCGGUAUGCCGCUCCGCCAGCAAGGAGCGAAAGAACCAAGUUUUCUGUGGUGAUGUCAGAAUUUGCACCUAUUUGUAUCUAUUUAGUGAUCAGUCCGCUAGUUUCUUUGCUCCCACUCGGUCUUCCUUUUCUAUUUUCUUCCAAUAGUUCGACCUAUCCAGAAAAAUUGUCGGCCUACGAAUGUGGUUUCGAUCCUUCCGGUGAUGCCAGAAGU